CCUACGGGUGGCUGCAGUGGGGAAUAUUGCACAAUGGGCGCAAGCCUGAUGCAGCCAUGCCGCGUGUGUGAAGAAGGCCUUCGGGUUGUAAAGCACUUUCAGCGGGGAGGAAGGCGGUGAGGUUAAUAACCUCAUCGAUUGACGUUACCCGCAGAAGAAGCACCGGCUAACUCCGUGCCAGCAGCCGCGGUAAUACGGAGGGUGCAAGCGUUAAUCGGAAUUACUGGGCGUAAAGCGCACGCAGGCGGUCUGUCAAGCCGGAUGCGAAAUCCCCGGGCUCAACCUGGGAACUGCAUUCGAAACUGGCAGGCUAGAGUCUUGUAGAGGGGGGUAGAAUUCCAGGUGUAGCGGUGAAAUGCGUAGAGAUCUGGAGGAAUACCGGUGGCGAAGGCGGCCCCCUGGACAAAGACUGACGCUCAGGUGCGAAAGCGUGGGGAGCAAACAGGAUUAGAUACCCUAGUAGUC
Molecule: ribosomal RNA, 465 nt
Filed under: uncultured Klebsiella sp.
Lineage: Bacteria; Pseudomonadati; Pseudomonadota; Gammaproteobacteria; Enterobacterales; Enterobacteriaceae
Description: bacterial SSU rRNA
Rfam family: Bacterial small subunit ribosomal RNA
Source: RNAcentral